CCCUUAGAUGUCCUGGGCCGCACGCGCGUUACACUGAUGCAUUCAACGAGCUUAUAACCUUGGCCGAGAGGCCUGGGCAAUCUUGUUAACGUGCAUCGUGAUAGGGAUAGAUUAUUGAAAUUAUUAAUCUUGAACGAGGAAUUCCUAGUAAACGCAGAUCAUCAAUCUGCAUUGAUUACGUCCCUGCCCUUUGUACACACCGCCCGUCGCACCUACCGAUUGUAUGGUCCGGUGAAGCCUCGGGAUUGUGGUUCUUGCCGCUUUAUUGUGGCGUGACCGCGAGAACUUGUCUAAACCUUAUCAUCUAGAGGAAGGUGAAGUCGUAACA
This 328-nucleotide ribosomal RNA is filed under the name uncultured eukaryote. RNAcentral describes it as "partial 18S ribosomal RNA". It matches the Rfam family "Eukaryotic small subunit ribosomal RNA", at positions 1470 to 1796 of the family's 1831-position model. The record is from RNAcentral.